This 271-nucleotide ribosomal RNA is filed under the name uncultured prokaryote. RNAcentral's name for it is "partial 16S ribosomal RNA". It matches the Rfam family "Bacterial small subunit ribosomal RNA", at positions 524 to 794 of the family's 1533-position model. The record is from RNAcentral.
UACGUAGGGUCCGAGCGUUGUCCGGAAUUAUUGGGCGUAAAGAGCUCGUAGGCGGCAUGUCGCGUCUGCUGUGAAAGACCGGGGCUCAACUUCGGUUUUGCAGUGGAUACGGGCAUGCUAGAGGUAGGUAGGGGAGACUGGAAUUCCUGGUGUAGCGGUGGAAUGCGCAGAUAUCAGGAGGAACACCGGUGGCGAAGGCGGGUCUCUGGGCCUUACCUGACGCUGAGGAGCGAAAGCAUGGGUAGCGAACAGGAUUAGAUACCCGGGUAGU